UAUCACAUUGAAACACCAGUUACCGUAAGAUCACCGAAGUUAAGUAAAACCGAGCUUGGAUAGUACCUAGAUGGGUAACCGUUUAGGAAUAGCAGGUUCUGU
Molecule: non-coding RNA, 102 nt
Organism: Acanthosepion pharaonis
Lineage: Eukaryota; Metazoa; Mollusca; Cephalopoda; Sepiida; Sepiidae
Source: the annotation of a GenBank genome assembly